GGGUGCGAUCAUACCAGCACUAAUGCACCGGAUCCCAUCAGAACUCCGCAGUUAAGCUUGCUUGGGCGAGAGUAGUACUAGGAUGGGUGACCUCCUGGGAAGUCCUCGUGUUGCACCCC
Non-coding RNA from Gossypium raimondii (Peruvian cotton), 119 nucleotides. Lineage: Eukaryota; Viridiplantae; Streptophyta; Magnoliopsida; Malvales; Malvaceae. The record is from Rfam.